AGCGAACGCUGGCGGCAGGCCUAACACAUGCAAGUCGAACGAACUCUUCGGAGUUAGUGGCGGACGGGUGAGUAACACGUGGGAACGUGCCUUUAGGUUCGGAAUAACUCAGGGAAACUUGUGCUAAUACCGAAUGUGCCCUUCGGGGGAAAGAUUUAUCGCCUUUAGAGCGGCCCGCGUCCGAUUAGCUAGUUGGUGAGGUAAAGGCUCACCAAGGCGACGAUCAGUAGCUGGUCUGAGAGGAUGAUCAGCCACAUUGGGACUGAGACACGGCCCAAACUCCUACGGGAGGCAGCAGUGGGGAAUCUUGCGCAAUGGGCGAAAGCCUGACGCAGCCAUGCCGCGUGAAUGAUGAAGGUCUUAGGAUUGUAAAAUUCUUUCACCGGGGACGAUAAUGACGGUACCCGGAGAAGAAGCCCCGGCUAACUUCGUG
This 433-nucleotide ribosomal RNA is filed under the name uncultured bacterium. RNAcentral's name for it is "partial 16S ribosomal RNA". It matches the Rfam family "Bacterial small subunit ribosomal RNA", at positions 29 to 507 of the family's 1533-position model. The record is from RNAcentral.